This 254-nucleotide ribosomal RNA is filed under the name uncultured bacterium. RNAcentral describes it as "partial 16S ribosomal RNA". It matches the Rfam family "Bacterial small subunit ribosomal RNA", at positions 524 to 776 of the family's 1533-position model. The record is from RNAcentral.
UACAGAGGGUGCGAGCGUUGUUCGGAAUUACUGGGCGUAAAGCGCGCGCAGGCGGCCCUUUAAGUCCGCUGGUGAAAGACCGGGGCUCAACCCCGCGUCAGCCAGGGAUACUGGAGGGCUGGAGACACGUAGAGGCAAGCGGAAUUCCGGGUGUAGCGGUGGAAUGCGUAGAGAUCCGGAAGAACACCGGAGGCGAAGGCGGCUUGCUGGGCGUGAUCUGACGCUGAGGCGCGAAAGCGUGGGGAGCGAACAGG